This 216-nucleotide long non-coding RNA is filed under the name Ananas comosus (pineapple). RNAcentral's name for it is "long non-coding RNA (ACOM_LNC015255)". Lineage: Eukaryota; Viridiplantae; Streptophyta; Magnoliopsida; Poales; Bromeliaceae. The record is from RNAcentral.
UGGCUUGUUAUUGCUUAUAGGAUGCGUAGGGAGGAAAACAGCAAGGUGCACUAAGAGGAAAAAUGCAAGGAGCGAGAGAGGAGGAGAAGAAAACUUGCUAAUAGUUGACACAAUGUUGCUGCUGCUGAUAUCCUGCGCUGGGAGUAAGGCACCAGGGAAUAAGAAAAAGAAGUGUGAAAGAAAGAAAAGGAAAUGGAGUAGUUCUCAGCCAACCAN